GGGGACAUAGUUUAAUUGGGAAAACUACGAUUUUGCAUAUCGUUAUUUCAGGAUCGAUCCCUGAUGUCUCCA
Molecule: transfer RNA, 72 nt
Organism: Tuber melanosporum (Perigord truffle)
Lineage: Eukaryota; Fungi; Ascomycota; Pezizomycetes; Pezizales; Tuberaceae
Rfam family: tRNA
About the family: Transfer RNA (tRNA) molecules are approximately 80 nucleotides in length. Their secondary structure includes four short double-helical elements and three loops (D, anti-codon, and T loops).
Source: Rfam